GAGGCCUUAGCUUAAGUAAAGUGUCUGGGUUGCAGUCAGGCGAUGUAAGUUGUAGUCUUGCAGGUCUU
This 68-nucleotide transfer RNA is filed under the name Thecadactylus solimoensis. Its description in RNAcentral is "tRNA-Ala". It matches the Rfam family "tRNA". From Rfam's summary of the family: Transfer RNA (tRNA) molecules are approximately 80 nucleotides in length. Their secondary structure includes four short double-helical elements and three loops (D, anti-codon, and T loops). Further hydrogen bonds mediate the characteristic L-shaped molecular structure. tRNAs have two regions of fundamental functional importance: the anti-codon, which is responsible for specific mRNA codon recognition, and the 3' end, to which the tRNAs corresponding amino acid is attached (by aminoacyl-tRNA synthetases). tRNAs cope with the degeneracy of the genetic code in two manners: having more than one tRNA (with a specific anti-codon) for a particular amino acid; and 'wobble' base-pairing, i.e. permitting non-standard base-pairing at the 3rd anti-codon position. Lineage: Eukaryota; Metazoa; Chordata; Lepidosauria; Squamata; Phyllodactylidae. The record is from RNAcentral.